CACCUCGAAAUGCUGUGAAUGAUUUAUGUGCUGUUGUGUUUUACAUUUCCGGUCUAAAUCAGAUUUAUGAUGAUGGAUAGUCGACACUAGUAACAAUGUCGCAGGUGUAAGGUUUAUGAGUCAUCAUGUCAAUUUUAGCAUCACUAUAAUUGAUUUUUGGGGUUGUUAGUUUUUGUUUCGUUUUUCCUCUUUGUUAGAGUUGAU
Molecule: long non-coding RNA, 204 nt
Filed under: Lathyrus oleraceus (garden pea)
Lineage: Eukaryota; Viridiplantae; Streptophyta; Magnoliopsida; Fabales; Fabaceae
Description: Pisum sativum (pea) long non-coding RNA (PSAT_LNC031885)
Source: RNAcentral